GUUAGUCCUUCUGAGCAGAUACCCUCAUUCACCAGCCGGCUGCUAUUACUUGGGUCCCUGCCGUGCUUGUGUUAUUUAUAUACAGCCCCUCACAAUAGAUACAAAGAGAGCUCACAAUGCCUUGUUUCAAAUGUUAUCCAAUCACAAGGAGACACUAACCCAAGCUAUUAACAUUGAGCUGGAAAUGCAUAUUUUAAUACUUUAUCUUUAUUUUUUUCAUUAUUUCUUGGACUACUGUCCAUUUAUAUUUAAAAUAAAAUUCAUACCUUACAUUUUAGAUUGGAAUAAGAAAUAGAUCUGCCACUAUGUUUUUUUUUUGUUUUGUUUUCUUGUUAAAACUUACAUCUCUUAUUGCCAAGAGAAAGACUGG
Molecule: non-coding RNA, 370 nt
Organism: Pelobates cultripes (western spadefoot toad)
Lineage: Eukaryota; Metazoa; Chordata; Amphibia; Anura; Pelobatidae
Source: the annotation of a GenBank genome assembly